This 492-nucleotide ribosomal RNA is filed under the name uncultured bacterium. Its description in RNAcentral is "partial 16S ribosomal RNA". It matches the Rfam family "Bacterial small subunit ribosomal RNA", at positions 29 to 507 of the family's 1533-position model. The record is from RNAcentral.
AGUGAACGCUGGCGGUAGGCCUAACACAUGCAAGUCGAACGGCAGCACAGUAAGAGCUUGCUCUUACGGGUGGCGAGUGGCGGACGGGUGAGGAAUACAUCGGAAUCUACUUUUUCGCGGGGGAUAACGUAGGGAAACUUACGCUAAUACCGCAUACGACCUACGGGUGAAAGCAGGGGAUCUUCGGACCUUGCGCGAUUGAAUGAGCCGAUGUCGGAUUAGCUAGUUGGCGGGGUAAAGGCCCACCAAGGCGACGAUCCGUAGCUGGUCUGAGAGGAUGAUCAGCCACACUGGAACUGAGACACGGUCCAGACUCCUACGGGAGGCAGCAGUGGGGAAUAUUGGACAAUGGGCGCAAGCCUGAUCCAGCCAUACCGCGUGGGUGAAGAAGGCCUUCGGGUUGUAAAGCCCUUUUGUUGGGAAAGAAAAGCAGCAGGCUAAUACCCCGCUGUUCUGACGGUACCCAAAGAAUAAGCACCGGCUAACUUCGUG